GGUUUCCACAUACUUCAUCUAGCUUG
This 26-nucleotide non-coding RNA is filed under the name Mus musculus (house mouse). Lineage: Eukaryota; Metazoa; Chordata; Mammalia; Rodentia; Muridae. The record is from RNAcentral.